This 468-nucleotide ribosomal RNA is filed under the name uncultured bacterium. RNAcentral describes it as "partial 16S ribosomal RNA". It matches the Rfam family "Bacterial small subunit ribosomal RNA", at positions 28 to 507 of the family's 1533-position model. The record is from RNAcentral.
GACGAACGCUGGCGGCGUGCUUAACACAUGCAAGUCGAACGGAAAGGCCCAGCUUUUGUGGGGUGCUCGAGUGGCGAACGGGUGAGUAACACGUGAGUAACCUGCCCUUGCCUUUGGGAUAACUUCAUGAAACUAGGGCUAAUACCGGAUAGGAACUCCUACUGCAGGGUGGGGGUAGGAAAGUAUCGGCGGUGGGGGAUGGACGCGCGGCUUAUCCGCUUGUUGGUGGGGUAGUGGUUUACAAAGGCUUUGACGGGUAGCCGGCCUGAGAGGGUGGCCGGCCACCAUGGGCCUGCGGGAGGGCGCAGUCUGCUACGGGAGGCAGUAGUGGGGAGUAUUGCACAGUGGGCGGAAGCCUAAUGCAGCAACUCCGCGUUCGUGAUGACGGCCUUCGGGUGGUAAACCGCUUGCGCAUGUGACGAAGCGUGAGUGACGGUAAUGUGUCAAGAAGCACCGGCUAACUACGUG